UCCAUAAAGCAUGGUGCUGGCAUCCUAAGGCCUCCUGGCUACAUCACAACAGAGAAGAGAAACAGAGAAGUAGAGAAGGAGCCAGCUGCAUGCGGAAGAGUCCAAGCACAUGUGGUGUUCUUACUUUAUGACAGACAGUUCUGAUGAGAACUAAUCCAUUCAAAUGGGACCUGACCCACUCUUGUGAGAAGAGACCAAGCUGUCAGCACCUGGUUUUCUGUGGAAUAAAUUAUGUCCAAAUUGUAGCUGUGCCUUUAUAAAGGAGGCCCAAUGGAGCUUGCUGUCCUGUCCACCUUGAGGACACAGCCAGAAAGUGGCACCUACCAGGAAGCAGACCACCACAAGACACCAGCCUGGGCCUUGAUCAUGAGCUUCCCAGCCUCUCAAACUGUUCCAUAGUUGCAUUUGUUCCAUGCUGAGCAGGAAGAGUUUCCUCUUAAAGGUUUACUUGAAGGAACAGAACUCAACUUUCUGAGCUGAGCUUUGUGUGUGUGUUUCUGCUUGCCUGCUUUUCUGUCACCAGAUCGCUCUGGGAGCGGUGACGCUCUUAAUUAAGCUGAGAUCUGAGGUGCUUAAAAUGCAGAAUUCACAGGCAAGCUGGCUGAUGCCUGAGGCUGAGAAAAGAUGCUCUCAACUUUUAAAAACCUAGAUCUGUCACAGUGAAAAAUUCCCUUCAUUUCAAUGGGGGUGGCUCACAGGACCAAAAAUGAGAACCACUUGAGCUUAGAUGGAGUCAGGCUCCUCCACCUCUCUCCCUCGCCAGCAUCGGGAGUGAGAGCUGCCUUCUGCAGAGAGAAGACAUACAGGGGCUCUCUGUGAACCACCUCUGAAGAUGUGAGGGGAGCCCCAGUUUCAUGAAAGAAUGAGUGAGUGAGCUUAUGAAGGAAUCCCCAAGCAAGACAAUGCUGGUUGUUAUAAAGGACAAGAGACCAGAAGCCCAGAUUUGGGUCAGAGACUACAAGCACAUGAUGGGAGUUUGAAGCCUGUCCAGGACCUUUAAUACUCACCUCCAGUUCCUGAAUGUGCUAUUCUUGCAACUGCCCUUGGACCAUUCAUUCAGGACACUUGGCAAAGGACUGAGGACUCUCAGAUGUGGUCCCUUUGUGGAAUUCUGCCCACCUCAACCCCCAGACAAACCCACUUCACAGCUGGGCAGGCAUCUAUCCUGCUGGUGAUGAGGCAGUGGGUGGAUCCCACAUUCGCAAUUUCAGGGGUUACAGGUGGUGUUUUGAAGGUGAGAGAUUCUACAAAGAAGUCUGGGCAGGAAGAUGACGGGGCGGACAGACAUCAGCAGGAUCACAAAGCCUCUUCCCAAUUUUGAAUUCAAGGGAUCCUGUGUUAGGAGUUAAAAACAGCCUACCAACUGUUCCUUAAAACAAUUGAAAAUUUCUCAUUUUGGCCGGUUGAGGUGAAGGUGAGUUUUAUUCCUGACUACCUCUAUAAUAGCAGAAAACUCAUAUCUUUUAAAUAGGAGCAUAAGGAACACAGGAGUCUUGAGGCUCGGAAAUUCACUUUCUCAUCUUCAGUUGGGACCUACACACAAAUUCUGUCUUUUACAUCUUGUAAGAAAAUUCUUUUUUAAAAGCUGAUGAAAAACACACCCUUAAAUGACCUUAGAGUCAGCAUUUUAUA
Heterocephalus glaber (naked mole-rat) is the source of this 1632-nucleotide non-coding RNA. NCBI's taxonomy places the organism in Eukaryota, Metazoa, Chordata, Mammalia, Rodentia, Bathyergidae. The record is from RefSeq and is a predicted model, not a curated record.